AGCUCGUCCCGUGGUUCAUCCUCCUCUAGGAACCGCUGUAGUUUAGGGCCGCCAAACCCCUACAAAGAGCACCUGAUGGCCUACAAGCCACCGAUUAAUUGCGAGUGUGGAUUCAAGAUGCCAAGAUGGAUUUCAUGGAGUGAUGACAAUCCUGGAAGAAGAUAUCACAAGUGCAGGUUUCGGAAGAUUGGAGGCACUGAUAGCUGUGAGGUGUACUACUGGUUCGAUGAUCCGACAACACCAUUUGUCAGGCGACUUAUUGUGGACCUGCGCAAUGUUGUAUGGGAGAAGAGCGAGGAGAACAUGAGG
This 309-nucleotide ribosomal RNA is filed under the name Triticum aestivum (bread wheat). Its description in RNAcentral is "partial small subunit ribosomal RNA". The record is from RNAcentral. Lineage: Eukaryota; Viridiplantae; Streptophyta; Magnoliopsida; Poales; Poaceae.